Molecule: ribosomal RNA, 440 nt
Filed under: uncultured bacterium
Lineage: Bacteria
Description: partial 16S ribosomal RNA
Rfam family: Bacterial small subunit ribosomal RNA
Source: RNAcentral
CCUAUGGGAGGCAGCAGUGGGGGAUAUUGCACAAUGGGGGAAAGCCUGAUGCAGCGACGCCGCGUGGGUGAAGAAGCGCCUCGGCGCGUAAAGCUCUGUCAGCAGGGAAGAAAAUGACGGUACCUGAAGAAGAAGCCACGGCCAAUAACGUGACAGCAGCCGCGGUAAGACGUAGGGGGCAAGCGUUAUCCGGAUUAACUGGGGUUAAAGGGGGCGUAGACGGCGUGGCAAGCAAGGAGUGAAAGCCCGGGGCCCAACCCCGGGACUGCUCUUGGAACUGCGUGGCUAGAGGGCGUGAGGGGCAGGCGGAAUUCCUGGUGUAGCGGUGAAAUGCGUAGAUAUCAGGAGGAACACCGGUGGCGAAGGCGGCCUGCUGAACUGCAACUGACGUUGAGGCCCGAAAGCGUGGGGAGCAAACAGGAUUAGAUACCCGAGUAGUC